RNAcentral lists this ribosomal RNA (279 nucleotides) under uncultured bacterium. RNAcentral's name for it is "partial 16S ribosomal RNA". It matches the Rfam family "Bacterial small subunit ribosomal RNA", at positions 506 to 784 of the family's 1533-position model. The record is from RNAcentral.
UGCCAGCCGCCGCGGUAAUACAGAGGGUGCAAGCGUUAAUCGGAUUUACUGGGCGUAAAGGGCUCGUAGGCGGCCAACUAAGUCGGACGUGAAAUCCCCAGGCUCAACCUGGGAACUGCGUCCGAUACUGGAUGGCUUGAAUCCGGGAGAGGGAUGCAGAAUUCCAGGUGUAGCGGUGAAAUGCGUAGAUAUCUGGAGGAAUACCGGUGGCGAAGGCGGCAUCCUGGACCGGCAUUGACGCUGAGGAGCGAAAGCCAGGGGAGCAAACGGGAUUAGAUA